Molecule: ribosomal RNA, 253 nt
Filed under: uncultured bacterium
Lineage: Bacteria
Description: partial 16S ribosomal RNA
Rfam family: Bacterial small subunit ribosomal RNA
Source: RNAcentral
UACGGGGGGGGCAAGCGUUGUUCGGAAUUACUGGGCGUAAAGGGCUUGUAGGUGGCCAACUAAGUCAGACGUGAAAUCCCUCAGCUUAACUGGGGAACUGCGUCUGAUACUGGAUAGCUAGAGUUCGGCAGAGGGAAGCGGAAUUUCGGGUGUAGCGGUGAAAUGCGUAGAUAUCCGAAGGAACAUCAGUGGCGAAAGCGGCUUCCUGGACCAGAACUGACGAUCAGGCACGAAAGCGUGGGGAGCAAACAGG